CUCAGGAUGAACGCUAGCUACAGGCUUAACACAUGCAAGUCGAGGGGCAGCAUGGUCUUAGCUUGCUAAGGCCGAUGGCGACCGGCGCACGGGUGAGUAACACGUAUCCAACCUGCCGUCUACUCUUGGACAGCCUUCUGAAAGGAAGAUUAAUACAAGAUGGCAUCAUGAGUCCGCAUGUUCACAUGAUUAAAGGUAUUCCGGUAGACGAUGGGGAUGCGUUCCAUUAGAUAGUAGGCGGGGUAACGGCCCACCUAGUCUUCGAUGGAUAGGGGUUCUGAGAGGAAGGUCCCCCACAUUGGAACUGAGACACGGUCCAAACUCCUACGGGAGGCAGCAGUGAGGAAUAUUGGUCAAUGGGCGAGAGCCUGAACCAGCCAAGUAGCGUGAAGGAUGACUGCCCUAUGGGUUGUAAACUUCUUUUAUAAAGGAAUAAAGUCGGGUAUGCAUACCCGUUUGCAUGUACUUUAUGAAUAAGGAUCGGCUAACUCCGUGCCAGCAGCCGCGGUAAUACGGAGGAUCCGAGCGUUAUCCGGAUUUAUUGGGUUUAAAGGGAGCGUAGAUGGAUGUUUAAGUCAGUUGUGAAAGUUUGCGGCUCAACCGUAAAAUUGCAGUUGAUACUGGAUAUCUUGAGUGCAGUUGAGGCAGGCGGAAUUCGUGGUGUAGCGGUGAAAUGCUUAGAUAUCACGAAGAACUCCGAUUGCGAAGGCAGCCUGCUAAGCUGCAACUGACAUUGAGGCUCGAAAGUGUGGGUAUCAAACAGGAUUAGAUACCCUGGUAGUCCACACGGUAAACGAUGAAUACUCGCUGUUUGCGAUAUACGGCAAGCGGCCAAGCGAAAGCGUUAAGUAUUCCACCUGGGGAGUACGCCGGCAACGGUGAAACUCAAAGGAAUUGACGGGGGCCCGCACAAGCGGAGGAACAUGUGGUUUAAUUCGAUGAUACGCGAGGAACCUUACCCGGGCUUAAAUUGCAGAUGAAUUACGGUGAAAGCCGUAAGCCGCAAGGCAUCUGUGAAGGUGCUGCAUGGUUGUCGUCAGCUCGUGCCGUGAGGUGUCGGCUUAAGUGCCAUAACGAGUGCAACCCUUGUUGUCAGUUACUAACAGGUUCCGCUGAGGACUCUGACAAGACUGCCAUCGUAAGAUGUGAGGAAGGUGGGGAUGACGUCAAAUCAGCACGGCCCUUACGUCCGGGGCUACACACGUGUUACAAUGGGGGGUACAGAGGGCCGCUACCACGCGAGUGGAUGCCAAUCCCCAAAACCUCUCUCAGUUCGGACUGGAGUCUGCAACCCGACUCCACGAAGCUGGAUUCGCUAGUAAUCGAGCAUCAGCCACGGCGCGGUGAAUACGUUCCCGGGCCUUGUGCACACCGCCCGUCAAGCCAUGGGAGCCGGGGGUACAAGAAGUGCGUAACCGCGAGGAG
RNAcentral lists this ribosomal RNA (1425 nucleotides) under uncultured organism. RNAcentral's name for it is "16S ribosomal RNA". It matches the Rfam family "Bacterial small subunit ribosomal RNA". The record is from RNAcentral.